This 443-nucleotide ribosomal RNA is filed under the name uncultured bacterium. Its description in RNAcentral is "partial 16S ribosomal RNA". It matches the Rfam family "Bacterial small subunit ribosomal RNA", at positions 338 to 795 of the family's 1533-position model. The record is from RNAcentral.
CCUACGGGUGGCAGCAGUGGGGAAUAUUGGGCAAUGGGCGCAAGCCUGACCCAGCAACGCCGCGUGAGGGAAGAAGGCUUUCGGGUUGUAAACUUCUUUUCUGAGGGACGAAGAAAGUGACGGUACCUCAGGAAUAAGCUACGGCUAACUACGUGCCAGCAGCCGCGGUACUACGUAGGUGGCAAGCGUUAACCGGAUUUAUGGGGUGUAAAGGGCGUGUAGGCGGGAAGGCAAGUCAGAUGUGAAAACUCAGGGCUCAACCCUGAGCCUGCAUUUGAAACUGUUUUUCUUGAGUGCUGAAGAGGAGAUCGGAAUUCCAUGUGUAGCGGUGAAAUGCGUAGAUAUACGGAGGAACACCAGUGGCGAAGGCGGAUUGCUGGACAGUAACUGACGCUGAGGCGCGAAAGCGUGGGGAGCAAACAGGAUUAGAUACCCCAGUAGUC